UAUUGUCAUAAUAUGAAUCCACCCAAAAGCCAUCGCUAACGUUAUCUAACAUUGCCUCAUCAAACAUAACUGUCUAUUUGGGUUAAUUGAAUAACACCGUCAGUAACGUUUAAGCAAACGUUACGACACAGUCUGACACUAUGUUUGUUAGCAUUAGCUAAACGAUUUGUUCAAUCCAUCUUUGUGAGCAUACCUGACACUUUGUUCCUGCUCCCAGAGAAAGUGACGGGUUACUCCACGACGACUGUCUAAUUUCUGAAGAUAUCGAACAGAAGGAAAGCUUCCUUCAGCAAAUCACCGCCUUACUUCUUCCUUCAAUGCGAUCCCUGCGACGACGUCAUCACGUAUGACGCUUCACAAUUGUACAGAAAAAAGGAUAACAAAACCAUGGAUGCAAUAAAUGGGAGAUGAGAGAAAAACAUAUGACAGACCUACUAUCAAGAACAAGGCAGAAGAAGAAAGAAAUGGAACAAAUUGAAUGUACUGCUACAUUGAUCAGCAGACCACCACCAUUGCACUGCUUUCAUGCUGGCUGGUCAGAAAUAUUCCCUACAACAGGCAGAGAUUAAUGUAUGGAGGCAAACCCUACAGGAGUUUAGAUGGGAGGCCUUGACAGCACACCAAAGCCCGUCGGUGUCCUCUGGCAUCCUUUCAAAGAAAAAAAUUCACUCCCUACAGGAAUUGACUAUCAUUAUGUGCCUAUAGUGCAACUUUGGCCAUGGCUGAGGCUAUAAUCUAUUCUGCACAUUGAUCAAUAAAUAUGAUUCA
This is a long non-coding RNA of Centropristis striata (black sea bass), 768 nucleotides long. RefSeq lists it as uncharacterized. The record is from RefSeq and is a predicted model, not a curated record. The transcript has 4 exons. Lineage: Eukaryota; Metazoa; Chordata; Actinopteri; Perciformes; Serranidae.